AAUGAACGCUGGCGGCGUGCUUUACACAUGCAAGUCGAGCGAGGCGUCCCGCAAGGGGCAGUCGAGCGGCGAACGGGUGAGUAACGCGUGGAUUAUCUGCCCUGAGGUGGGGGAUAACCCGGGGAAACUCGGGCUAAUACCGCAUAUGACCGUGAGGUCAAAGGGGGGUCGCAAGAUCUCUCGCCAUAGGAGGAGUCCGCGUCCGAUUAGCUAGUUGGUAGGGUAAUGGCCUACCAAGGCGACGAUCGGUAGCCGGCCUGAGAGGGUGAUCGGCCACACUGGAACUGAGACACGGUCCAGACUCCUACGGGAGGCAGCAGUGGGGAAUUUUGCGCAAUGGGCUAACGCCUGACGCAGCAACGCCGCGUGGAGGAUG
Molecule: ribosomal RNA, 376 nt
Filed under: uncultured bacterium
Lineage: Bacteria
Description: bacterial SSU rRNA
Rfam family: Bacterial small subunit ribosomal RNA
Source: RNAcentral